CUAGGUAUUAUUUAUCACCCUGAACACACCCAGUCUCAUCUGAUCUUGGAAACUAAACAGGACUGAGCUUGGUUAGUACUUGGA
Molecule: ribosomal RNA, 84 nt
Filed under: Nannospalax galili (Upper Galilee mountains blind mole rat)
Lineage: Eukaryota; Metazoa; Chordata; Mammalia; Rodentia; Spalacidae
Source: RNAcentral